This 30-nucleotide non-coding RNA is filed under the name Homo sapiens (human). Lineage: Eukaryota; Metazoa; Chordata; Mammalia; Primates; Hominidae. The record is from RNAcentral.
CUGCCCAGCUAGUUUCCAAAUACAGUGCGC